GCGGAGCGGGACAGGAAAUGAGCUGGGAGCGGGCGCAGGGAAGGGGGCUUCCGGCCGGCCCCGAAGCCCCCGUGAUUCGCGCUGCCUGGAACUCCUUGCCAAGCCUCUCCGUUCGCUCACUGUAAAGUGGAGAGAACUAGUGCUGCCUAGCUGGGUCUUGGGGUCACCGCGAAGACUGAACGGAAAAACAGGUUGAAAUUUUUUCCAAUGAGUCAACAUGUCAUCACAUCAUCAAGACUCUUUUAGUGGCCGCUGAACUCCAUUAUGCAAAGGGAUUUUUGCCCAUUUAAUAGAAGUCCAUAACUAGUAUUUUGAAUUCACAACUUGUGAUUAAAAUGCAACGUUAUUUUUGUCUCUCAAAGCUGUUUUAAGAUAUAUUCAGUGUUGGUUACCUUCCCCUGCCCCUAGAUGAAAGUUGGGUAGAGCCCUUGUAUUUUCUGCUCAUUUUUAGGUAACUGAUACUCCUAUGGUAACUAAAUCUCAACCACAGCUUCAUUCCAAAAUUACAAUGUUGAAUACAAGAUAUAAACAAAUGCAUCAAACUUUACUUGAAAAUAAGACUUCAUCCCCCUUUCCUGCCUCAGGUCUCCAGAUGACCUUCCCAGCAGGGAUGCAGCUGGCUGAGGCUCACCACAGUAGAGGCCACCUCAAGACCCAGCCUGGGUGGAGGUGGGCCAGAAGUGGGGAGAAAAGAAGCAGGAGAUGGAGCACUUCUUCCCAGAUUUGAAUAGCUUUGAGCUUGCUGUGGACAGCAAGCCCAUGUGGCUCUCUCCUGGUUUCUUCAGCAUUUCCUAUUAAUGAAGACCUCUUUCCAGGGGAUUCUUCAGGUGGAUUCCAAGCUAUCACACUGCUUGUUUACAGCUCCUUCUCUGACCCUAGAAAUCUAGGGCUUACUCCAACCCCUUUAGAUGGAUCCCAAGAUGGCACCAUACUUUGUCCAAGAAAAACCACAGACAUCUCUUGCCCCAGUGACUCUGAGAAUGCAGCCCCCACCUCUCCCAUGAGCCCCCAUCCUGUCACAGGAUGGAACUUUAGCUUUCCCAGAGUGAGUCGAACUCCAGGCCUCUGGACUCCCUAACUGCAGCCUCUGGAAGGCUCCUCUGGGAAGCCCUCUCACUGGGUUUGAGAUGAAGGGGGUGGCACCCCCCACACUCCUCUCCAAAGAAAUUUCCUCACCCGUCCUGCCCCUGCAUUCUCUGACUCCGCAUUUUUAGCCAAAGGGACCAAAGGGUCCAGGCAGUCUAGAUAUUGCUUUGUAACUCACCCUAAGGAGACUUUGCCUCACCUUCACUUUGGAACUGAUGAUUAUUCACUUACUAUCUCAGCUGAAACUGCAGUUUAAAAAGCUGUUGUGCAGCCAAUUACUAACUAUGGUCUUGCACCCAGGGUCUUGGUCUAAAAUACACAAGUAAGCUCGCUCCUGGAGCCGGAAGCUGGCCAACUCAGUUGGCCAGGAAAUGUCUGCCAAGCAAAUUAGAACAAUUGAAAAGAGUGACAAGGGCUGAAUUAUAGGAAGCAAUCAUUUAAAGCACUAAAGCUGCCCAGCUUACCUCACUGAAGGACACGACAUGAGAAAACAUUGAGGCUAUGGUAGCAAUGGCCUAUUAUACUGACCCGGCUAUUCCUUCCUGCUCACCUGAUGGCUAUUUAACAGAAUUUGACAUAAUGAAAAUUUUAAGUGGAGUUGUUUUUGAAACAAAAUUGCUAUUUUCUUUGCUUUAGAAAAAUUGAAGAGGAAAAUAAAAUAUUGAU
This is a long non-coding RNA of Canis lupus familiaris (dog), 1752 nucleotides long. RefSeq lists it as uncharacterized. The record is from RefSeq and is a predicted model, not a curated record. Lineage: Eukaryota; Metazoa; Chordata; Mammalia; Carnivora; Canidae. The transcript is spliced from 3 exons.